RNAcentral lists this ribosomal RNA (443 nucleotides) under uncultured bacterium. RNAcentral's name for it is "partial 16S ribosomal RNA". It matches the Rfam family "Bacterial small subunit ribosomal RNA", at positions 338 to 795 of the family's 1533-position model. The record is from RNAcentral.
CCUACGGGUGGCAGCAGUGGGGAAUAUUGGGCAAUGGGCGCAAGCCUGACCCAGCAACGCCGCGUGAAGGAAGAAGGCUUUCGGGUUGUAAACUUCUUUUAUGAGGGACGAAACAAAUGACGGUACCACCUGAAUAAGCUACGGCUAACUACGUGCCAGCAGCCGCGGUAAUACGUAGGUGGCAAGCGUUAUCUGGAUUUACUGGGUGUAAAGGGCGUGUAGGCGGGACUGCAAGUCAGAUGUGAAAAUUAUGGGCUCAACCCAUAACCUGCAUUUGAUACUGUAGUUCUUGAGUGAGGGAGAGGCAGGCGGAAUUCCGGGUGUAGCGGUGAAAUGCGUAGAUAUACGGAGGAACACCAGUGGCGAAGGCGGCCUGCUGGACAUAAACUGACGCUGAGGCGCGAAAGCGUGGGGAGCAAACAGGAUUAGAUACCCCGGUAGUC